CCCAACCCCUGUUAGACCAGCGCCCCCCCCCUCCCCUGUCAGCCUGUGGGUCUGUCUCAGAGUGGCUUCAUGCUAUCAAGAUGUCUCGUUAUGAAGAGAGCUUUACACAGGCAGGAUUCACCAACCUGGAGGUCAUCGCACAGAUCUCUACAGAGGAUCUGUUGCGUAUAGGAGUGACUCUAGCGGGACACCAGAAGAAGAUUCUCUCUUCCAUCCAGACCCUUAGAGUUCUCAAAACUCCUCCCACACUCAGAUACUGACCAAUCACCUAUUACAGCCUCAUGGAAGCUCCCCCCACCCUUCCAUACUGGCCAAUCUCACCAAAGCCCUUCAACAAGCCACCAGCCAACCACGUACCAGUUGUGAUGAUGUCACUACGCCAACGGUGUCCCAAGCCAAUCUUUGUACUCGGUUCCACUGUGAUGACACAAUAGAUGUGUGUGUACUCUUCAUCCAAUCAGGAAGACGGAGAGAGAGACAGACAUGAACUCUCUCCUGAGAGAUUCCUUCAGUUUUCCAAUACUGCCUUGUUGGAGUCCACGGGAAUACUGGACAUUAACUUGGUUUUAUAAUACUGCCUUGUUGGAGUCCACGGGAAUACUGGACAUUAACUUGGUUUUAUAAUACUGCCUUGUUGGAGUCCACGGGAAUACUGGACAUUAACUUGGUUUUAUAAUACUGCCUUGUUGGAGUCCACGGGAAUACUGGACAUUAACUUGGUUUUAUAAUACUGCCUUGUUGGAAUCCACGGGAAUACUGGACAUUAACUUGGUUUUAUAAUACUGCCUUGUUGGAGUCCACAGGAAUACUGGACAUUAACUUGGUUUUAUAAUACUGCCUUGUUGGAGUCCACGGGAAUACUCAACAUUAACUUGGUUUUAUAAUACUGCCUUGUUGGAAUCCACGGGAAUACUGGACAUUAACUUGGUUUUAUAAUACUGCCUUGUUGGAGUCCACUGGAAUACUCAACAUUAACUUGGGUUAUAAUACUGCCUUGUUGGAGUCCACAGGAAUACUGGACAUUAACUUGGUUUUACAAUACUGCCUUGUUGGAAUACUCAACAUUAACUUGGUUUUAUAAUACUGCCUUGUUGGUGUCCAUGGGAAUACUGGACAUUAACUUGGUUUUACAAUACUGCCUUGUUGGAGUCCACGGGAAUACUCAACAUUAACUUGGUUUUAUAUUACUGCCUUGUUGGAAUACUCAACAUUAACUUGGUUUUAUAAUACUGCCUUGUUGGAGUCCACGGGAAUACUGGACAUUAACUUGGUUUUAUAAUACUGCCUUGUUGGAGUCCACGGGAAUACUCAACAUUAACUUGGUUUUAUAAAACUGCCUUGUUGGAGUCCACGGGAAUACUGGACAUUAACUUGGUUUUACAAUACUGCCUUGUUGGAGUCCACGGGAAUACUCAACAUUAACUUGGUUUUAUAAUACUGGCGGGAUCCUCUCGGAAUACCAUUGGAAUACUGUGGAAGAUUUCUCCCCUGGAACACUGUUUGGGAUAAAGGAUUUCGCCCAAUCAGGUUUUCCCAGAUAUUCCCUCUGACUGAGGUGUGGUGCUGGACCUUGUAGACUAACUGCUAAUCAGAGACAUCUCUGAUUUAAAACCUGACUUCUAGAGAGACUAACUCUGAUUUAAAACUUGACUUCUAGAGAGACUAACUCUGAUUUAAAACCUGACUUCUAGAGAGACUGACUCUGAUUUAAAACAUAACUUCUAGAGAGACUGACUGAUUUAAAACCUGACUUCUAGAGAGACGGACUCUGAUUUAAAACCUGACUUCUACAGAGACUGACUCUGAUUUAAAACCUGACUUCUAGAGAGACUGACUCUGAUUUAAAACCUGACUGCUUCUAGAUAGACUGCCUCUGAUUUAAAUCCUGACUUCUAGAGACUAACUCUGAUUUAAAACCUGACUUCUAGAGAGACUGACUCUGAUUUAAAACAUGACUUCUAGAGAGACUGACUCUGAUUUAAAACCUGACUGCUUCUAGAGAGACUGACUGAUUUAAAACCUGACUUCUAGAGAGACGGACUCUGAUUUAAAACCUGACUUCUACAGAGACUGACUCUGAUUUAAAACCUGACUUCUAGAGAGACUGACUCUGAUUUAAAACCUGACUGCUUCUAGAUAGACUGCCUCUGAUUUAAAUCCUGACUUCUAGAGACUAACUCUGAUUUAAAACCUGACUUCUAGAGAGACUGACUCUGAUUUAAAACAUGACUUCUAGAGAGACUGACUCUGAUUUAAAACCUGACUGCUUCUAGAGACUGACUCUGAUUUAAAACCUGACUUCUAGAGAGACUGACUCUGAUUUAAAACCUGACUGCUUCUAGAGAGACUGCCUCUGAUUUAAAACCUGACUGCUUCUAGAGAGACUGCCUCUGAUUUAAAACCUGACUGCUUCUAGAGAGACUGCCUCUGAUUUAAAACCUGACUGCUUCUAGAGAGACUGCCUCUGAUUUAAAACCUGACUUCUAGAGAGACUAACUCUGAUAACAUGAUCAGGUCUAUAUGGACUUCUUAGGAACGAGAGGGAGGGGAUAAAACAGAAAGAGAGAGGGGGGGAUAGAGAGGGUAAAAGAGGGUAAAACAGAGAGAGAGAGAGAGAGAGAGAGCGAGCGAGAGGGUAAAAGAGAGAGAGAGAGAGAGAGAGGGUAAAAAAGAGAGAGAGAGAGAGAGGGUAAAAUAGAGAGAGAGGGUAAAAGAGAGAGAGGGUAAAAGAGAGAGGGGUUGUAAAACACAGAGAGAGAGAGAGAGAGAGAGAGAGGGUAAAAAACAGAGAGAGAUAGGAGGAUGGAAGAGCAUAAAUGACUGAUAGACUGAUAAAGAUGGACAAUUCUCCUCUCCUCUAUCAUCUCUCCAUCUAUUUGUUCCUGGGUUAGUGUUUAAAGAUACAAUACUUCCACGGUCUAGUGAGACUGCUGCGCUGAGACUUUCAGAAUGUCUGCUGCCAUUUCAUAACCUCUCCCAAGUCACAGAGGUACUGAUGGACCCUAGAGUUGACCUCUGACCCGAGCCCAUGUCUCCAUGACCUAUGGAACUAUGGGACUUUAGUCCUGAGGCCUCUCCCGUUGCAUUAUGGGUGAGGUAGUAUCCCAGUCCCUCACAUUGAACUCUCUGUAUUGAAGUUGUUUAUUGUUUAUUAUUAUGAUGAAUUCAGGAUGUUUUGUAAUAAUUAUAAUUAUUCUGUUACCUUUUCUAAGAAACAGUUAUUAAAUAUGACUGAUAUAUAUUAUUUUUAUAGUAUAUAUACAGUCGUACAUAUGACUGAUCGAUGUCUAUUUGAGAGAAGAUUGAUUGGGAGAGGGGCUUGUCUGUCUGUUGCUGUGACCAAUCACAAUAAAGAUGACUUAAGCUGU
This is a long non-coding RNA of Oncorhynchus masou masou (cherry salmon), 3368 nucleotides long. RefSeq lists it as uncharacterized. The transcript has 2 exons. NCBI's taxonomy places the organism in Eukaryota, Metazoa, Chordata, Actinopteri, Salmoniformes, Salmonidae. The record is from RefSeq and is a predicted model, not a curated record.